AUACGUAGGUGGCAAGCGUUGUCCGGAAUUAUUGGGCGUAAAGCGCAUGUAGGCGGUUUGGUAAGUCGGGCGUGAAAAUGCGGGGCUUAACGGCGGAUGGGGAUUGAAACUGCUGAACUUGAGGGCCGGAGCGGGAAGGGGGAAUCCCAGUGUAGCGGGGAAAUGCGUAGAUAAUGGGAAGAACACCGGUGGCGAAGGCGCCUUUCUGGACUGUGUCUGACGCUCAGAUGCGAAAGCCAGGGUAGCGAACGGGAUUAGAUACCCCGGUAGUCCUGGCCGUAAACGAUGGGUACUAGGUGUGGGAGGUAUCGACUCCUUCCGUGCCGGAGUUAACGCAAUAAGUACCCCGCCUGGGGAGUACGGCCGCAAGGCUUAAACUCAAAUGAAUUGACGGGG
RNAcentral lists this ribosomal RNA (396 nucleotides) under uncultured bacterium. RNAcentral describes it as "partial 16S ribosomal RNA". It matches the Rfam family "Bacterial small subunit ribosomal RNA", at positions 523 to 918 of the family's 1533-position model. The record is from RNAcentral.